RNAcentral lists this ribosomal RNA (2913 nucleotides) under Pseudomonas sp. HMSC066B03. Its description in RNAcentral is "bacterial LSU rRNA". It matches the Rfam family "Bacterial large subunit ribosomal RNA". The record is from RNAcentral. Lineage: Bacteria; Pseudomonadati; Pseudomonadota; Gammaproteobacteria; Pseudomonadales; Pseudomonadaceae.
GUUAUAUGGUCAAGUGAAGAAGCGCAUACGGUGGAUGCCUUGGCAGUCAGAGGCGAUGAAAGACGUGGUAGCCUGCGAAAAGCUUCGGGGAGUCGGCAAACAGACUUUGAUCCGGAGAUCUCUGAAUGGGGGAACCCACCUAGGAUAACCUAGGUAUCUUGUACUGAAUCCAUAGGUGCAAGAGGCGAACCAGGGGAACUGAAACAUCUAAGUACCCUGAGGAAAAGAAAUCAACCGAGAUUCCCUUAGUAGUGGCGAGCGAACGGGGAUUAGCCCUUAAGCUUCAUUGAUUUUAGCGGAACGCUCUGGAAAGUGCGGCCAUAGUGGGUGAUAGCCCCGUACGCGAAAGGAUCUUUGAAGUGAAAUCGAGUAGGACGGAGCACGAGAAACUUUGUCUGAACAUGGGGGGACCAUCCUCCAAGGCUAAAUACUACUGACUGACCGAUAGUGAACCAGUACCGUGAGGGAAAGGCGAAAAGAACCCCGGAGAGGGGAGUGAAAUAGAACCUGAAACCGUAUGCGUACAAGCAGUGGGAGCCUACUUGUUAGGUGACUGCGUACCUUUUGUAUAAUGGGUCAGCGACUUAUAUUCAGUGGCAAGCUUAACCGUAUAGGGUAGGCGUAGCGAAAGCGAGUCUUAAUAGGGCGUUUAGUCGCUGGGUAUAGACCCGAAACCGGGCGAUCUAUCCAUGAGCAGGUUGAAGGUUAGGUAACACUGACUGGAGGACCGAACCCACUCCCGUUGAAAAGGUAGGGGAUGACUUGUGGAUCGGAGUGAAAGGCUAAUCAAGCUCGGAGAUAGCUGGUUCUCCUCGAAAGCUUAUUUAGGUAGCGCCUCAUGUAUCACUCUGGGGGGUAGAGCACUGUUUCGGCUAGGGGGUCAUCCCGACUUACCAAACCGAUGCAAACUCCGAAUACCCAGAAGUGCCGAGCAUGGGAGACACACGGCGGGUGCUAACGUCCGUCGUGAAAAGGGAAACAACCCAGACCGCCAGCUAAGGUCCCAAAGUUGUGGUUAAGUGGUAAACGAUGUGGGAAGGCUUAGACAGCUAGGAGGUUGGCUUAGAAGCAGCCAUCCUUUAAAGAAAGCGUAAUAGCUCACUAGUCGAGUCGGCCUGCGCGGAAGAUGUAACGGGGCUCAAACCACACACCGAAGCUGCGGGUGUCACGUAAGUGACGCGGUAGAGGAGCGUUCUGUAAGCCUGUGAAGGUGAGUUGAGAAGCUUGCUGGAGGUAUCAGAAGUGCGAAUGCUGACAUGAGUAACGACAAUGGGUGUGAAAAACACCCACGCCGAAAGACCAAGGGUUCCUGCGCAACGUUAAUCGACGCAGGGUUAGUCGGUUCCUAAGGCGAGGCUGAAAAGCGUAGUCGAUGGGAAACAGGUUAAUAUUCCUGUACUUCUGGUUACUGCGAUGGAGGGACGGAGAAGGCUAGGCCAGCUUGGCGUUGGUUGUCCAAGUUUAAGGUGGUAGGCUGAAAUCUUAGGUAAAUCCGGGGUUUCAAGGCCGAGAGCUGAUGACGAGUCGUCUUUUAGAUGACGAAGUGGUUGAUGCCAUGCUUCCAAGAAAAGCUUCUAAGCUUCAGGUAACCAGGAACCGUACCCCAAACCGACACAGGUGGUCGGGUAGAGAAUACCAAGGCGCUUGAGAGAACUCGGGUGAAGGAACUAGGCAAAAUGGCACCGUAACUUCGGGAGAAGGUGCGCCGGCUAGGGUGAAGGAUUUACUCCGUAAGCUCUGGCUGGUCGAAGAUACCAGGCCGCUGCGACUGUUUAUUAAAAACACAGCACUCUGCAAACACGAAAGUGGACGUAUAGGGUGUGACGCCUGCCCGGUGCCGGAAGGUUAAUUGAUGGGGUUAGCGCAAGCGAAGCUCUUGAUCGAAGCCCCGGUAAACGGCGGCCGUAACUAUAACGGUCCUAAGGUAGCGAAAUUCCUUGUCGGGUAAGUUCCGACCUGCACGAAUGGCGUAACGAUGGCGGCGCUGUCUCCACCCGAGACUCAGUGAAAUUGAAAUCGCUGUGAAGAUGCAGUGUAUCCGCGGCUAGACGGAAAGACCCCGUGAACCUUUACUGUAGCUUUGCACUGGACUUUGAGCCUGCUUGUGUAGGAUAGGUGGGAGGCUUUGAAGCGUGGACGCCAGUUCGCGUGGAGCCAUCCUUGAAAUACCACCCUGGCAUGCUUGAGGUUCUAACUCUGGUCCGUAAUCCGGAUCGAGGACAGUGUAUGGUGGGCAGUUUGACUGGGGCGGUCUCCUCCUAAAGAGUAACGGAGGAGUACGAAGGUGCGCUCAGACCGGUCGGAAAUCGGUCGCAGAGUAUAAAGGCAAAAGCGCGCUUGACUGCGAGACAGACACGUCGAGCAGGUACGAAAGUAGGUCUUAGUGAUCCGGUGGUUCUGUAUGGAAGGGCCAUCGCUCAACGGAUAAAAGGUACUCCGGGGAUAACAGGCUGAUACCGCCCAAGAGUUCAUAUCGACGGCGGUGUUUGGCACCUCGAUGUCGGCUCAUCACAUCCUGGGGCUGAAGCCGGUCCCAAGGGUAUGGCUGUUCGCCAUUUAAAGUGGUACGCGAGCUGGGUUUAGAACGUCGUGAGACAGUUCGGUCCCUAUCUGCCGUGGACGUUUGAGAUUUGAGAGGGGCUGCUCCUAGUACGAGAGGACCGGAGUGGACGAACCUCUGGUGUUCCGGUUGUCACGCCAGUGGCAUUGCCGGGUAGCUAUGUUCGGAAAAGAUAACCGCUGAAAGCAUCUAAGCGGGAAACUUGCCUCAAGAUGAGAUCUCACUGGGAACUUGAUUCCCCUGAAGGGCCGUCGAAGACUACGACGUUGAUAGGCUGGGUGUGUAAGCGUUGUGAGGCGUUGAGCUAACCAGUACUAAUUGCCCGUGAGGCUUGACCAUAUAACACCCAAACA